RNAcentral lists this ribosomal RNA (396 nucleotides) under uncultured bacterium. RNAcentral describes it as "bacterial SSU rRNA". It matches the Rfam family "Bacterial small subunit ribosomal RNA", at positions 30 to 426 of the family's 1533-position model. The record is from RNAcentral.
AUUGAACGCUGGCGGCAUGCCUUACACAUGCAAGUCGAACGGCAGCACGGGAGCAAUCCUGGUGGCGAGUGGCGAACGGGUGAGUAAUAUAUCGGAACGUGCCCAGUCGUGGGGAUAACGUAGCGAAAGCUACGCUAAUACCGCAUACGAUCUAAGGAUGAAAGCGGGGGAUUCGCAAGAACCUCGCGCGAUUGGAGCGGCUGAUAUCAGAUUAGGUUGUUGGUGAGGUAAAGCUCACCAAGCCGACGAUCUGUAGCUGGUUUGAGAGAACGACCAGCCACACUGGGACUGAGACACGGCCCAGACUCCUACGGGAGGCAGCAGUGGGGAAUUUUGGACAAUGGGCGCAAGCCUGAUCCAGCAAUGCCGCGUGCAGGAUGAAGGCCUUCGGGUUGU